GGUUAAGCGACUAAGCGUACACGGUGGAUGCCUAGGCAGUCAGAGGCGAUGAAGGGCGUGCUAAUCUGCGAAAAGCGUCGGUAAGCUGAUAUGAAGCGUUAUAACCGACGAUACCCGAAUGGGGAAACCCAGUGCAAUACGUUGCACUAUCGUUAGAUGAAUACAUAGUCUAACGAGGCGAACCGGGGGAACUGAAACAUCUAAGUACCCCGAGGAAAAGAAAUCAACCGAGAUUCCCCCAGUAGCGGCGAGCGAACGGGGAGGAGCCCAGAGUCUGAAUCAGUUUGUGUGUUAGUGGAAGCGUCUGGAAAGUCGCACGGUACAGGGUGAUAGUCCCGUACACCAAAAUGCACAGGCUGUGAACUCGAUGAGUAGGGCGGGACACGUGACAUCCUGUCUGAAUAUGGGGGGACCAUCCUCCAAGGCUAAAUACUCCUGACUGACCGAUAGUGAACCAGUACCGUGAGGGAAAGGCGAAAAGAACCCCGGCGAGGGGAGUGAAAUAGAACCUGAAACCGUGUACGUACAAGCAGUGGGAGCACCUUCGUGGUGUGACUGCGUACCUUUUGUAUAAUGGGUCAGCGACUUAUAUUUUGUAGCAAGGUUAACCGAAUAGGGGAGCCGUAGGGAAACCGAGUCUUAACUGGGCGUCUAGUUGCAAGGUAUAGACCCGAAAC
This 677-nucleotide ribosomal RNA is filed under the name Yersinia pestis biovar Orientalis str. India 195. Its description in RNAcentral is "bacterial LSU rRNA". It matches the Rfam family "Bacterial large subunit ribosomal RNA", at positions 1 to 721 of the family's 2925-position model. Lineage: Bacteria; Pseudomonadati; Pseudomonadota; Gammaproteobacteria; Enterobacterales; Yersiniaceae. The record is from RNAcentral.